UACGGGGGAGCAAGCGUUGUUCGGAUUUACUGGGCGUAAAGGGCGCGUAGGCGGUCGUGACAAGUCACUUGUGAAAUCUCCGGGCUUAACUCGGAACGGUCAAGUGAUACUGUCGGACUAGAGUACAGAAGGGGCAACUGGAAUUCUCGGUGUAGCGGUGAAAUGCGUAGAUAUCGAGAGGAACACCUGCGGCGAAGGCGGGUUGCUGGGCUGAUACUGACGCUGAGGCGCGGAAAGCCAGGGGAGCGAACGGG
Molecule: ribosomal RNA, 254 nt
Filed under: uncultured bacterium
Lineage: Bacteria
Description: partial 16S ribosomal RNA
Rfam family: Bacterial small subunit ribosomal RNA
Source: RNAcentral